RNAcentral lists this ribosomal RNA (433 nucleotides) under uncultured bacterium. RNAcentral describes it as "partial 16S ribosomal RNA". It matches the Rfam family "Bacterial small subunit ribosomal RNA", at positions 29 to 507 of the family's 1533-position model. The record is from RNAcentral.
AACGAACGCUGGCGGCAUGCCUAACACAUGCAAGUCGAACGAGACCUUCGGGUCUAGUGGCGCACGGGUGCGUAACGCGUGGGAACCUGCCCUUAGGUUCGGAAUAACUCCCCUAAAUGGGUGCUAAUACCGGGUAAUGUCUUCUGACCAAAGAUUUUUCUCCUUUGGAUGGGCCCGCGUUGGAUUAACUAGGUGGUAGGGUAAAAGCCUACCAAGGCGACGAUCCAUAGCUGGUCUGAGAGGAUGAUCAGCCACACUGGGACUGAGACACGGCCCAGACUCCUACGGGAGGCAGCAGUGGGGAAUAUUGGACAAUGGGCGAAAGCCUGAUCCAGCAAUGCCGCGUGAGUGAUGAAGGCCUUAGGGUUGUAAAGCUCUUUUACCCGGGAUGAUAAUGACAGUACCGGGAGAAUAAGCUCCGGCUAACUCCGUG